AACAUUCAGGAGGUUGAGACAGGAGGAUU
Molecule: non-coding RNA, 29 nt
Filed under: Cricetulus griseus (Chinese hamster)
Lineage: Eukaryota; Metazoa; Chordata; Mammalia; Rodentia; Cricetidae
Source: RNAcentral